Molecule: non-coding RNA, 418 nt
Organism: Seriola dumerili (greater amberjack)
Lineage: Eukaryota; Metazoa; Chordata; Actinopteri; Carangiformes; Carangidae
Source: the annotation of a RefSeq genome assembly
ACCAUCAACAUUACCUUUAUUCAACAUGCUGUCAUUGGACUAUUAUGUUCUGUCUCUACUGUUUGUCUCUACUCUAACAGGAGUCAGCUGUAAAGAACUGAGUCCAGUCAAGACUGAAGAGUUCAGUUCAGAAGGCAGCUCUGUUACUCUGUCCUACAACUACUCCACAAAGGCAGCGAUCAGUGAUAAUUUCUUCUGGUAUCGACAAUAUCCAGGAAAACCACCAGAAUUCCUCAUCUCUCACACAGGGACAGGAAAAGAAGUAUCAGAUCCAGUCUCUGGACUGUCUUUUAAAGUGAGUGAAGAUCAAACCAGAAUGGAUCUGAACAUCUCCUCUGCUGCAGUGUCUGACUCUGCUGUGUACUACUGUGCUGUGAAGCCCACAGUGACAGGAAACACCAAAACUCUGUACAAAAAC